Vicugna pacos (alpaca) is the source of this 2780-nucleotide long non-coding RNA. RefSeq lists it as uncharacterized. The record is from RefSeq and is a predicted model, not a curated record. Lineage: Eukaryota; Metazoa; Chordata; Mammalia; Artiodactyla; Camelidae.
ACUAGGAAAACAAGAAAAGAAUGAAUUACAUUCACAAAACAAAGUUAAAGACACAGCCCUCUUUAAUGUAACAUUAGCAUUCAUGAUUUAAAUUCCACUUUCCCUUUUAACUUUAAUUUUUCUCAUGAAGAAAGCUAAGCCAUCACGACUGGCUUUACAAUAAACUAGACACCAAGGGCAGCGGGAGGGCAGAGGCUCUCCUGCCACCAACGUAACUCCCUGGACAGCAAGCACGGGGGCAGCGGCGGGAGUUCAGGACCAAGGCCCAUCCUGGGGGCAGGCGCCUCGACCCUCCUCGGACAUUUUCCAAGGAGCUGACGGCAGGGGACGUAAUGACGCCACUGUUCCAGCACCAAGGACUGGUUUUCGGAAAAUCAAAGGAAUGACCAUGAAAGAGGUCCCGACAGUGCCUCGUGUGGAAUCUGCCGGCACUCCAGCAACACUUAGCCCUCCUUGUUUGGGAAACCCACCUAGACUGCUUAUUCCUUUUGGGGUCUUCGGCUGCAAAAAUGUGCACCGUGCCAUGGUCACUGGACACGCAGAUGAGGGAAGCGUCCUGAUUGAAGUUAAUGCUGCAGAGAAACCAGAUGGAACUUGGGCUCUGGCAGAUGCAGAAGAGCCCAGCCCCGCCCUCAGCAGGCCCGCACUCAGACAGCAGCUUUAAGAACCUGCCUCCUCAAUGAGCCGACAGCAUUCACCACGGAACCAGAGGGUCCAAGCCAGGGCCUGGCCCUCCUUGGGGCAGACGCAGCUGGGAUUCCCAAGGCCAUCCCAGCAUGCCACUCAGGCCCAAAUGCAGCUCCACACGUGCCAAGGCCACAGACGCAAAGCAUGAGGUCCUGCCGAGCAGGGCCGGCCUGUCAGAGCUGCAGACGCUGUGGGGCGCGGAACCACCAUCGACAGCAAGCGGUUCAGUCUCACAGGAGACGGGAGUGAUUACAGAUGCGUCACCAAGGCCUCCAGCGUUUGCCUUAAAACGCUACAGAGAGGAAGCCGGGACGGUGAGGAGACGAAGCAAACGCACACACGGGCGAGUGCUGAGGCAGGGUGGUGGAUGGUGGCGAGCCUAACAGCCUCUCCGCCCUUGUGUGUUCCCCUAAUAAAAAGCCAGACUCAGUGACAAGCGAGCAAGAAACCCGACCCCUGGCAGCACAGCAGCCCCGCCCACCUCACAGGCGGUGACCCCCAGCCGCAACGGCCCGUCAAGGCCCGAGCAGAGGCCUCCUCCUGGGCAAAACGACGUGCUUCUUACCAAUAAAUGUUCGCUGCUUGAGAUCCUCUUCGCAGUUCCUGGAUUAAGUGCCCUGAUGAAGUAUCAAAUAUUCUUAUAAGGGUCCCCUUUGAAAAACAGUGAAGUGUUUCAUUAUCAAAGAUUCACAACUUUUAGUUUUUUGAAAUGAUUUAUAUUCACAAAAACAUUAGCCCAUCCAACCCUCUCCCAGGUCACCCACAUCAUCUGAAACUCGGCUGUCCCUCUGCUUGUGAGCACGAGUGGACCAGGGCUCUGCGGCCGGCCAACAGCACCGGGCAUGGCUCAGGACAGGGUCGGGGAGACCCCAGGCCCAGGCGCACGUGCCCCUGGCGGACACGGAGCCCCAGGUGCUGUCAGCUCACUCACUGUGGAGGGAGAUGGCAUCUUAACUGUAACUCACACAGCCGGUGAGAAGAGGGAGCACUGUUACGUGCCAAACGGGCGCAACCAAGUGAAGUGACUUUGGACCCCCUGUGCCAACUAGGAGUCUCAGGCACAGGAUCUUCAGGGCAGGGCUGGUUCUCAGCCCCGAGAGUCCACGCGGGAGCCUGGCCGCUUCCCAGAGGGGUGGGGGCGCUCCCCAGUGGGGCGAGGGCCGCUCCCCGGCGGGGCGGGGGCGCCCACUCACUUUCUCAGAUGCGGUCGCUAUCCUUGUUCCCUGCAGGUUAAGAGCAAUGCAGCUGAGGAUGCCCUCGUGGGCGGGAAUGUCCACCGGCGGCUUCUCGGUGCUGGCCAGGUCCACGAGCUGCACGUGGCCUGUGUGCGUGCCCGGGAAGGCCAGGAGGGAGUUGUUGCUGUUCGGGCACAGGACACAGAGGCCUGAGCAGAGAGGAGACGCCUGUCAGGGACUCAGGACGGCUUGGAGCCUCUGCCUGCCCUCCAGGUCCUGCAACCAAGUCAGAACUGUCCACAGUCCUGUCACUGGACAGGGCGCUGGGGGCCAGGCACGCUUCCUCCUGGGAGACAGCGUCAUAAUCAGAAAUAUUUGCUGAACUUGUUACUGGAUAAACUUCACCAAAUGUCCCACCUCUGGGGUGCCAGCCACCAAGAAUACAAAAUUGUAAAAUCUAAAACUGAAUCCAUUAACCAUAACAUAAAAAAACAAAAUAUGCAGGAAUAGUUUAAUGGCAGGUGUGAAAGAUUCUCGCAACUGGCAAAGGAAAACCAAAGAAAGACCUGGUCGGUGCAUAGCUGCCCUGUGACAGGCGGAACCUGCAUCCUCUCCAGUCAGUGCAGCCACAACUACACACUCUGCAGGCGUUUCGAGCAGACAAGCUGACGCUGAAAGUUACAAGAAAGACAAGGCCCUAGAAUAGCCAGAAAAAUUCCUGUAACACAGGAACACGCUUAGAGGACUCAUACUGCCUAAUUUCAAGAACUAUCUUGAAGUUCCAGAAGUCAGGGUGGCAAGGACAGAGACACAGACCACAGAACAGAGUAAAGAGUCUGGAAAAAUCUUACACUUACUUGAUAUAUAUAUAUGAAAAAAAGGUACCAAGGUAAUCCUAUGCAGAAAAAAGGGCUUUUA